GGAAGGAAAAGACAGAAAAGUGAGAAGCGGCAUCAAGGGAUAAAUGGUAAGGGAUUUUGCUUUACCCUUUUUUUAAGUAAAUAAUAAUAUAUGUGCUUAACAUUGCGUGGCCAGCAGUCCAAUCAUAUUACUGAGGUUAAAUUCGAUGGUUAUAGAAUGUGGCUACAUCCAGGCAAUACCCCAAUGCAUAGAAGGUACUGAAAUCAAUGGCUCCAUGCUUUUCCGUGAAUCUGAAUUCAAACAGCCCCAUGCAGGAAAAAGGUCAAAAGUACUAGAAGAAAAUCAUGGGUUUACAUCACUUGUUUUGAGUUCCCACGUUGUAGUUUGAAAGCUUGACGCUGUCGGUAGAACUUAACCAUGAUUUUUCUAUUAUGGCAAAUGCAGCUGUUAGGCUGCAUCAUCGCCAUCAAGCUGCAUUACCUAGAAUCAAAAGGGUAAUCUUUUACUCUUUCAUUUGAUGUUUCCAUUUCAACUUGAAGCCAUAGAAUUGCUAUAUAGACGACAUCAUGUUCAGUUUGAUAGUAAUACCUUGUAAUAAAAAAAAG
RNAcentral lists this long non-coding RNA (545 nucleotides) under Theobroma cacao (cacao). Its description in RNAcentral is "long non-coding RNA (TCAC_LNC005092)". Lineage: Eukaryota; Viridiplantae; Streptophyta; Magnoliopsida; Malvales; Malvaceae. The record is from RNAcentral.